UACGGGGGGGGCAAGCGUUGUUCGGAAUUACUGGGCGUAAAGGGCUCGUCGGUGGCCAACUAAGUCGGACGUGAAAUCCCUCGGCUUAACCGGGGAACUGCGUCUGAUACUGGAUGGCUUGAGUUCGGGAGAGGGAUGCGGAAUUCCAGGUGUAGCGGUGAAAUGCGUAGAUAUCAGGAGGAACACCAAUGGCGAAGGCAGCUCGCUGGGACGGUACUGACGCUGAGGCGCGAAAGCGUGGGGAGCAAACAGG
RNAcentral lists this ribosomal RNA (253 nucleotides) under uncultured bacterium. RNAcentral describes it as "partial 16S ribosomal RNA". It matches the Rfam family "Bacterial small subunit ribosomal RNA", at positions 524 to 776 of the family's 1533-position model. The record is from RNAcentral.